AGAGAGAGAGAGAGAGUUACAAAUGAGAGAGAAAUCAAGAACAACAUCGUUAGAAGAUAAAAAUUAAGGUAUGAGGGGUAAAAUUUACUCAAAAACAAGGUUUGAAACACUAAUGAAUUAUUAGCGAAUAAUAGCAAAACAAUGUCAAAUUUCAUUUCAACCAUGCUUAAUUUUUGAAUGUCCAACUAGGUUUAUAUCAAGAAAGUCAGAUGGUCAUAACAAGUUGAAACCAUUUGAAUAAUUAUGUUAAACCAUUAAGUAGUAAUUAUUAAAUGCCAUAAAAAUAGUUUAUCCUCAACCCAUAUCCCCAUGUCAAUAGUUACACACAAACCUUACUACAAUGGCCUAUUAAACAAACACCAUAGUGAAAGCAUAUCUCUUGAACCCACCCAUCUAUAUGGAAAACAAAUUCAUUGCACCAACACAAAAACCCCAGACAACCAAAACUCAAACAUAAAGCUUGCUACCAUGCAACAAUUAACACCUUUAGCAGCCAAAAGAAUAAAAGUAUUUUCUCUCGCAGAAUCUAACAUCUAUAAUCCAACAAUUUGAUCUAUAUUGUUGCAGAGCAUACUAAUAUCAAGAAUUAACUUAACAAAGGAUACAAAUAAA
RNAcentral lists this unclassified non-coding RNA (612 nucleotides) under Hevea brasiliensis (rubber tree). Lineage: Eukaryota; Viridiplantae; Streptophyta; Magnoliopsida; Malpighiales; Euphorbiaceae. The record is from RNAcentral.